RNAcentral lists this ribosomal RNA (345 nucleotides) under uncultured Ruminococcus sp. Its description in RNAcentral is "partial 16S ribosomal RNA". The record is from RNAcentral. Lineage: Bacteria; Bacillati; Bacillota; Clostridia; Eubacteriales; Oscillospiraceae.
GGAGUUUGGGCCGUGUCUCAGUCCCAAUGUGGCCGGUCGCCCUCUCAGGCCGGCUACAGAUCGUCGCUUUGGUGGGCCGUUACCCCGCCAACUGGCUAAUCUGACGCGGAGCCAUCUCUAUCCACCGGAGUUUUUCUACACUGCACCAUGCGAUGCUGUGCGCUUAUGCGGUAUUAGCAGUCAUUUCUAACUGUUAUCCCCCAGAUAAAGGCAGGUUCUCCACGCGUUACUCACCCGUCCGCCACUAACUUGCCCGGGCGGAAACUUCGUAUGCAAGCAUCUUCCGUUUCCAAUUGGACAAGUCCGUUCGACUUGCAUGUGUUAAGCACGCCGCCAGCGUUCAUC